CCCUUAGAUGUUCUGGGCCGCACGCGCGCUACACUGAUGCAUUCAACGAGCCUAUCCUUGACCGACAGGUCCGGGUAAUCUUUGAAUCUGCAUCGUGACGGGGAUAGAUUAUUGCAAUUAUUAAUCUUCAACGAGGAAUGCCUAGUAGGCGCAAGUCAUCAGCUUGCGUCGAUUACGUCCCUGCCCUUUGUACACACCGCCCGUCGCUCCUACCGAGUGGGUGUGCUGGUGAAAUGUUCGGAUCGGCCGUUUGUCGCGGUUUCCGCGUCAUGUGGCUGAGAAGUUCAUUAAACCCUCCCACCUAGAGGAAGGAGAAGUCGUAACA
Molecule: ribosomal RNA, 325 nt
Filed under: uncultured eukaryote
Lineage: Eukaryota
Description: partial 18S ribosomal RNA
Rfam family: Eukaryotic small subunit ribosomal RNA
Source: RNAcentral